CACGUAGGGACCGAGCGUUGUCCGGAUUCAUUGGGCGUAAAGAGCUCGUAGGCGGUCGGGUAAGUCGGGUGUGAAAUCUCCGGGCUCAACUCGGAGGGGCCACCCGAUACUGCACGACUCGAGUCCGGUAGGGGAGUGGGGAAUUCCUGGUGUAGCGGUGAAAUGCGCAGAUAUCAGGAGGAACACCGGUGGCGAAGGCGCCACUCUGGGCCGGUACUGACACUAAGGCGCGAAAGCGUGGGGAGCGAACAGG
RNAcentral lists this ribosomal RNA (253 nucleotides) under uncultured bacterium. RNAcentral describes it as "partial 16S ribosomal RNA". It matches the Rfam family "Bacterial small subunit ribosomal RNA", at positions 524 to 776 of the family's 1533-position model. The record is from RNAcentral.